RNAcentral lists this ribosomal RNA (362 nucleotides) under uncultured eukaryote. RNAcentral's name for it is "SSU rRNA". It matches the Rfam family "Eukaryotic small subunit ribosomal RNA", at positions 587 to 972 of the family's 1831-position model. The record is from RNAcentral.
AGCUCCAAUAGCGUAUAUUAAUGUUGUUGCAGUUAAAAAGCUCGUAGUUGGAUUUCUGGUCGGAACGCCUGGCCGGCUCCGCAAGGGGUCGUUGCUGUGGUUUCUCCGUCCAUCCUCAGGGGGAGCUGCGCUGGUAUUCAUUUAUCGGCGUGGUCACGCCUGUCGUUUACUGUGAACAAAUUAGAGUGUUCAAAGCAAGGUGUACUUGAAUACAUUAGCAUGGAAUAAUAAGAUAGGACUUUGGUGGUUCUUUUGAUAUUAAUAGGAGCAGUUGGGGGUAUUCGUAUUCAAUUGUCAGAGGUGAAAAUCUUGGAUUUAUAGAAGACGAACUACUGCGAAAGCAUUUACCAAGGAUGUUUUCA